CUUGGUCAUUUAGAGGAAGUAAAAGUCGUAACAAGGUCUCCGUUGGUGAACCAGAGGAGGGAUCAUUACAGAGUUGCAAAACUCCCUAAACCAUUGUGAACGUUACCUAAACCGUUGCUUCGGCGGGCGGCCCGGGUCCUUCCCGGCGCCCCUCGGCCCUCGCGGGCGCCCGCCGGAGGUAAACCAAACUAUUGCAUUGUAUGGCCUCUCUGAGUGUUCUGUACUGAAUAAGUCAAAACUUUCAACAACGGAUCUUUUGGUUCUGGCAUCGAUGAAGAACGCAGCGAAAUGCGAUAAGCAAUGUGAAUUGCAGAAUUCAGUGAAUCAUCGAAUCUUUGAACGCACAUUGCGCCCGCCAGUAUUCUGGCGGGCAUGCCUGUUCGAGCGUCAUUUCAACCAUCAAGCCCCGGGCUUGUGUUGGGGACCUGCGGCUGCCGCAGGCCCUGAAAUGCAGUGGCGGGCUCGCUGUCACUCCGAGCGUAGUAGUUACAUCUCGCUCUGGGCGUGCUGCGGGUUCCGGCCGUUAAAAGCCUUAUUUACCCAAGGUUGACCUCGGAUCAGGUAGUCUUACCCGCUGAACUUAAGCAUAUCAAUAAGCGGAGGA
Molecule: ribosomal RNA, 604 nt
Filed under: uncultured fungus
Lineage: Eukaryota; Fungi
Description: eukaryotic LSU rRNA
Rfam family: 5.8S ribosomal RNA (bases 237-390)
Source: RNAcentral